RNAcentral lists this ribosomal RNA (492 nucleotides) under uncultured bacterium. RNAcentral's name for it is "partial 16S ribosomal RNA". It matches the Rfam family "Bacterial small subunit ribosomal RNA", at positions 29 to 507 of the family's 1533-position model. The record is from RNAcentral.
AUUGAACGCUGGCGGCAUGCUUUACACAUGCCAGUCGAACGGUAACAGGCCUUCGGGUGCUGACGAGUGGCGAACGGGUGAGUAAUGCAUCGGAACGUACCCAGAGGUGGGGGAUAACGCAGCGAAAGCUGUGCUAAUACCGCAUGUGAUCUGAGGAUGAAAGCGGGGGACCGAGCAGCAAUGUUUGGCCUCGCGCCUUUGGAGCGGCCGAUGUCGGAUUAGCUAGUUGGUGGGGUAAAGGCCUACCAAGGCGACGAUCCGUAGCUGGUCUGAGAGGACGACCAGCCACACUGGGACUGAGACACGGCCCAGACUCCUACGGGAGGCAGCAGUGGGGAAUUUUGGACAAUGGGCGCAAGCCUGAUCCAGCAAUGCCGCGUGCGGGAAGAAGGCCUUCGGGUUGUAAACCGCUUUUGGCAGGAACGAAACGGAGUCCGCUAAUACCGGGCGCUAAUGACGGUACCUGCAGAAUAAGCACCGGCUAACUACGUG